AAUAGAUACCCGGGUAGUCCACGCCGUAAACGAUGAGUGCUAAGUGUUAGAGGGUUUCCGCCCUUUAGUGCUGCAGCUAACGCAUUAAGCACUCCGCCUGGGGAGUACGGUCGCAAGACUGAAACUCAAAGGAAUUGACGGGGGCCCGCACAAGCGGUGGAGCAUGUGGUCUAAUUCGAAGCAACGCGAAGAACCUUACCAGGUCUUGACAUCCUCUGACAACUCUAGAGAUAGAGCGUUCCCCUUCGGGGGACAGAGUGACAGGUGGUGCAUGGUUGUCGUCAGCUCGUGUCGUGAGAUGUUGGGUUAAGUCCCGCAACGAGCGCAACCCUUGAUCUUAGUUGCCAGCAUUUAGUUGGGCACUCUAAGGUGACUGCCGGUGACAAACCGGAGGAAGGUGGGGAUGACGUCAAAUCAUCAUGCCCCUUAUGACCCGGGCUACACACGUGCUACAAUGGAUGGUACAAAGAGCUGCGAACCCGCGAGGGUAAGCGAAUCUCAUAAAGCCAUUCUCAGUUCGGAUUGUAGG
This 529-nucleotide ribosomal RNA is filed under the name uncultured bacterium. RNAcentral describes it as "bacterial SSU rRNA". It matches the Rfam family "Bacterial small subunit ribosomal RNA", at positions 777 to 1304 of the family's 1533-position model. The record is from RNAcentral.